GUAGGGAAUAUUGGACAAUGGGCGAGAGCCUGAUCCAGCCAUGCCGCGUGCAGGAAGAAGGCCCUCUGGGUUGUAAACUGCUUUUGACAGGGGCCAAAAUGGCUAUGCGUAGCAAAUUGAGAGUACCUGUAGAAUAAGCACCGGCUAACUCCGUGCCAGCAGCCGCGGUAAUACGGAGGGUGCAAGCGUUGUCCGGAUUUAUUGGGUUUAAAGGGUGCGUAGGUGGCCCUAUAAGUCAGUGGUGAAAGUCUGCAGCUUAACUGUAGAACUGCCAUUGAUACUGUAGGGCUUGAGUACUGAUGAGGUAGGCGGAAUUGAUAGUGUAGCGGUGAAAUGCAUAGAUAUUAUCAAGAACACCGAUUGCGAAGGCAGCUUACUAAGGAGUUACUGACACUGAGGCACGAAAGCGUGGGGAUCAAACAGGAUUAGAAACCCGAGUAGUCC
RNAcentral lists this ribosomal RNA (444 nucleotides) under uncultured bacterium. RNAcentral's name for it is "bacterial SSU rRNA". It matches the Rfam family "Bacterial small subunit ribosomal RNA", at positions 354 to 796 of the family's 1533-position model. The record is from RNAcentral.